GUUUGCACUCAUCGGGGAAGGAUGAGAACCUUCGACUAAGGUUCGAUUCGAGCGAAAGCGAGAGAACGUUGCCACAGGCAACGGCCCGAAGGGUGAGGAGCGAAGCGACGAAUAAUCCUUCCCCCACCACCA
Molecule: small RNA, 132 nt
Filed under: Escherichia coli
Lineage: Bacteria; Pseudomonadati; Pseudomonadota; Gammaproteobacteria; Enterobacterales; Enterobacteriaceae
Also listed under: 1 other name
Description: RtT sRNA
Rfam family: RtT RNA
About the family: This family represents a bacterial cis-regulatory element known as RtT RNA. The exact function of RtT is unknown although it is thought that it may be involved in changing the cellular response in relation to amino acid starvation.
Source: RNAcentral